Molecule: non-coding RNA, 55 nt
Organism: Lyngbya majuscula
Lineage: Bacteria; Bacillati; Cyanobacteriota; Cyanophyceae; Oscillatoriales; Microcoleaceae
Source: Rfam
UGGUAGAUGCACCCUAAUAAUUACCCCUGAAGCUCACGGUUCGGGGGAUUUUUUU